GGGAAACUGCCUGACGGAGGGGGAUAACUACUGGAAACGGUAGCUAAUACCGCAUAACGUCGCAAGACCAAAGAGGGGGACCUUCGGGCCUCUUGCCAUCGGAUGUGCCCAGAUGGGAUUAGCUAGUAGGUGGGGUAACGGCUCACCUAGGCGACGAUCCCUAGCUGGUCUGGGAGGAUGACCAGCCACACUGGAACUGAGACACGGUCCAGACUCCUACGGGAGGCAGCAGUGGGGAAUAUUGCACAAUGGGCGCAAGCCUGAUGCAGCCAUGCCGCGUGUAUGAAGAAGGCCUUCGGGUUGUAAAGUACUUUCAGCGGGGAGGAAGGGAGUAAAGUUAAUACCUUUGCUCAUUGACGUUACCCGCAGAAGAAGCACCGGCUAACUCCGUGCCAGCAGCCGCGGUAAUACGGAGGGUGCAAGCGUUAAUCGGAAUUACUGGGCGUAAAGCGCACGCAGGCGGUUUGUUAAGUCAGAUGUGAAAUCCCCGGGCUCAACCUGGGAACUGCAUCUGAUACUGGCACGCUUGAGUAUAUUAGACGGGGGUAGAAUCCCAGGGGGUGCGGUGAAAGGCUCAGAGAUAGGGAGGAAUGUCAUCGUCCCAGGCCACCCCGGGAUCGUAGCCUAGCUGUCCCGUUACCCCACCUACUAGCUAAUCCCAUCUGGGCACAUCCGAUGGCAAGAGGCCCGAAGGUCCCCCUCUUUGGUCUUGCGCCGUUAUGCGGUAUUAGCUACCGUUUCCAGUAGUUAUCCCCCUCCGUCAGGCAGUUUCCCAGACAUUACUCACCCGUCCGCCACUCGUCAGCAAAGAAGCAAGCUUCUUCCUGUUACCGUUCG
RNAcentral lists this ribosomal RNA (837 nucleotides) under uncultured bacterium. RNAcentral describes it as "bacterial SSU rRNA". The stretch from base 1 to 664 matches the Rfam family "Bacterial small subunit ribosomal RNA". The record is from RNAcentral.